UUUCCAGAGGAAGGUUCGUCCGCUCUGGGUAAGUCGGGACCUAAGGCGAGGCCGAGAGGCGUAGUCGAUGGACAACAGGUAGAGAUUCCUGUACUUACGGUAUGAAUGAAGGAGUGACGGAGAAGGCUAGCGGAUCCUGCUGCUGGAAUAGCAGGUGCAAGCGAAGUAGCCGACAGCCAGGCAAAUCCGGCUGUCAGAGGCAAAGGCGUGAAGCGGAUGGAAAGCUGAGGCAAGUACAGAAGUCCGUGAAGCAGGCUUCCAAGAAAAGCUUCUAGUGUUAAUCAUACAGUAACCCGUACCGAAAAUGGACACACAUGGGUGAGGAGAGAAUCCUAAGGUGAGCGAGAGAACUAUAGCUAAGGAACUCUGCAAAAUGACUCCGUAACUUAGGGAGAAGGAGUGCUCAUAGAGAUAUGAGCCGCAGUGAAACGGCCCAAGCGACUGUUUACCAAAAACACAGCUCUCUGCUAAGCCGCAAGGCGAAGUAUAGGGGGUGACGCCUGCCCGGUGCUGGAAGGUUAAGGGGAGGGGUUAACGCAAGUGAAGCCCUGAACUGAAGCCCCAGUAAACGGCGGCCGUAACUAUAACGGUCCUAAGGUAGCGAAAUUCCUUGUCAGGUAAGUUCUGACCCGCACGAAAGGCGUAACGAUUUGGGCGCUGUCUCAGCUGUAGACUCGGUGAAGUCUUAGUACCUGUGAAGAUGCAGGUUACCCGCGACUAGACGGAAAGACCCCAUGGAGCUUCACUGCAGGUUGAUAUUGGGAUUUGAUGCAGCAUGUACAGGAUAGGUAGGAGGCAAAGAGAUGGAUACGCCAGUAUUCAAGGAGCCGCUGUUGGGAUACUACCCCUGUUGUAUUGGAUUUCUAACCGGACGACGUAGAGCCGUUGACGGGACAGUGUCAGUCGGGCAGUUUGACUGGGGCGGUCGCCUCCCAAAGAGUAACGGAGGCGCCCAAAGAUACCCUCAGCUUGGAUGGAAACCAAGCGCAGAGUGCAAAGGCAAAAGGGUGUUUGACUGCGAGACCCACAAGUCGAGCAGGGACGAAAGUCGGGCUUAGUGAUCCGGCGGUGCUGAAUGGAAAGGCCGUCGCUCAACGGAUAAAAGCUACCCUGGGGAUAACAGGCUGAUCUCCCCCAA
This 1138-nucleotide ribosomal RNA is filed under the name metagenome. RNAcentral describes it as "bacterial LSU rRNA". It matches the Rfam family "Bacterial large subunit ribosomal RNA", at positions 1351 to 2495 of the family's 2925-position model. The record is from RNAcentral.